RNAcentral lists this ribosomal RNA (492 nucleotides) under uncultured bacterium. RNAcentral describes it as "partial 16S ribosomal RNA". It matches the Rfam family "Bacterial small subunit ribosomal RNA", at positions 29 to 507 of the family's 1533-position model. The record is from RNAcentral.
AGUGAACGCUGGCGGUAGGCCUAACACAUGCAAGUCGAACGGCAGCACAGUAAGAGCUUGCUCUUACGGGUGGCGAGUGGCGGACGGGUGAGGAAUACAUCGGAAUCUACUUUUUCGUGGGGGAUAACGUAGGGAAACUUACGCUAAUACCGCAUACGACCUACGGGUGAAAGCAGUGGAUCUUCGGACCUUGCGCGAUUGAAUGAGCCGAUGUCGGAUUAGCUAGUUGGCGGGGUAAAGGCCCACCAAGGCGACGAUCCGUAGCUGGUCUGAGAGGAUGAUCAGCCACACUGGAACUGAGACACGGUCCAGACUCCUACGGGAGGCAGCAGUGGGGAAUAUUGGACAAUGGGCGCAAGCCUGAUCCAGCCAUACCGCGUGGGUGAAGAAGGCCUUCGGGUUGUAAAGCCCUUUUGUUGGGAAAGAAAAGCAGCAGGUUAAUACCACGCUGUUCUGACGGUACCCAAAGAAUAAGCACCGGCUAACUUCGUG